This 1370-nucleotide ribosomal RNA is filed under the name Bacillus licheniformis. RNAcentral's name for it is "bacterial SSU rRNA". It matches the Rfam family "Bacterial small subunit ribosomal RNA", at positions 1 to 1336 of the family's 1533-position model. The record is from RNAcentral. Lineage: Bacteria; Bacillati; Bacillota; Bacilli; Caryophanales; Bacillaceae.
GGUUUUAUUUUUUUAAAAGUAAUAAGUUUUUUUUUUUAGCUCAGGACGAACGCUGGCGGCGUGCCUAAUACAUGCAAGUCGAGCGGACAGAUGGGAGCUUGCUCCCUGAUGUUAGCGGCGGACGGGUGAGUAACACGUGGGUAACCUGCCUGUAAGACUGGGAUAACUCCGGGAAACCGGGGCUAAUACCGGAUGCUUGAUUGAACCGCAUGGUUCAAUUAUAAAAGGUGGCUUUUAGCUACCACUUACAGAUGGACCCGCGGCGCAUUAGCUAGUUGGUGAGGUAACGGCUCACCAAGGCAACGAUGCGUAGCCGACCUGAGAGGGUGAUCGGCCACACUGGGACUGAGACACGGCCCAGACUCCUACGGGAGGCAGCAGUAGGGAAUCUUCCGCAAUGGACGAAAGUCUGACGGAGCAACGCCGCGUGAGUGAUGAAGGUUUUCGGAUCGUAAAACUCUGUUGUUAGGGAAGAACAAGUACCGUUCGAAUAGGGCGGUACCUUGACGGUACCUAACCAGAAAGCCACGGCUAACUACGUGCCAGCAGCCGCGGUAAUACGUAGGUGGCAAGCGUUGUCCGGAAUUAUUGGGCGUAAAGCGCGCGCAGGCGGUUUCUUAAGUCUGAUGUGAAAGCCCCCGGCUCAACCGGGGAGGGUCAUUGGAAACUGGGGAACUUGAGUGCAGAAGAGGAGAGUGGAAUUCCACGUGUAGCGGUGAAAUGCGUAGAGAUGUGGAGGAACACCAGUGGCGAAGGCGACUCUCUGGUCUGUAACUGACGCUGAGGCGCGAAAGCGUGGGGAGCGAACAGGAUUAGAUACCCUGGUAGUCCACGCCGUAAACGAUGAGUGCUAAGUGUUAGAGGGUUUCCGCCCUUUAGUGCUGCAGCAAACGCAUUAAGCACUCCGCCUGGGGAGUACGGUCGCAAGACUGAAACUCAAAGGAAUUGACGGGGGCCCGCACAAGCGGUGGAGCAUGUGGUUUAAUUCGAAGCAACGCGAAGAACCUUACCAGGUCUUGACAUCCUCUGACAACCCUAGAGAUAGGGCUUCCCCUUCGGGGGCAGAGUGACAGGUGGUGCAUGGUUGUCGUCAGCUCGUGUCGUGAGAUGUUGGGUUAAGUCCCGCAACGAGCGCAACCCUUGAUCUUAGUUGCCAGCAUUCAGUUGGGCACUCUAAGGUGACUGCCGGUGACAAACCGGAGGAAGGUGGGGAUGACGUCAAAUCAUCAUGCCCCUUAUGACCUGGGCUACACACGUGCUACAAUGGGCAGAACAAAGGGCAGCGAAGCCGCGAGGCUAAGCCAAUCCCACAAAUCUGUUCUCAGUUCGGAUCGCAGUCUGCAACUCGACUGCGUGAAGCUGGAAUCGCU